AAUUUUUUGUGUACCCAUGUAAUCUACUAAUAGAGAUCAUUUUACAUCUUCCUUUCUGACUUGAAUGCCUUUUAUUUCUUUGUCUUGCUUAUUUGCUCUAGCUAGGACUUCAAGAACUAUGUUAAAUAGAAGUGACAAGAUUGGGCAUUCUUGCCUUGUUCCUGAUUUGAGAGGAAAAUUUUUCAGUUUUUAACUGUUGAGCAAGAUGUUAGCUAUGGGCUUGUCAUAUAUGGCUCUGAGAUAGCAAGAUAAAAACUAGUCCUCUCAGAUAGGCUGCCAAAAGCCAGAAAUUUGGUUGCUGGUUUUAUUUCUUUUCCUCUCCAGGAGGAAGCAAGGAGUUAGAGGUUUUCUUCUACUCUUUAUUUACUGAGCCAGAGGAAGCGACCAUGGCCAGUGAAGGGUCCAAAUUUUUGCCUUUGUUCUCAGCAGCUCUCAACUUGGCACCCCUUCCUGUCAGUGUUCUUCUAGUCAGGACAUAAACCAGUCCCUUGGGCAGCUCCUGAAAAAGUCUCAACAUUGGACAUAUGUUUCAGUCUUCUCUUUCCAUUCCAAGGGAGAAACUGAGAUCUGGGAGUUUUCUCUCAAUUGCAUUGCACUGAGGAAGAGGGCCUAUGAAUAUCAAUAAGUUCCAAUUGAAGAGCGGAUUCUUUUGCAAUUCAGGCAUGUGCCGGCGAUAACGGGCGAGUUGGCAUGAAGAGAGGCAGAGAUGGAUUAAUUAUGCAGAGAACAUGGAAAUUCUGCUUAUCAUCGGCUAGCAAAGGAGCCCGGCUCACAUAAUCAGCAAACGAAGGGAGAGGAAAAAAUAACAAUGCAAUGGCACCUUCCAGCCCAUCAUCAGGAUUUUUUCUACCCCCUUGUAAUUAAAAAAUAACAUACACUUAUAGCCCUAUCUCCUGUGCAGGCAAGGAGUGGAUGUCCACAAAAUAAUUGCACUGGGAUAUUAGAGCUGGCGACACGGGCUGUCCAUUCCGGCUUGCUCUCCUGCUCACCCUCUCUUUCUCUUUUGGCCUCUCAGGCACUUUGCUUCUGAACCCAGUCCAAAUCAGAGAGACGUCUCAGGUGACAUUCAAGCUCGGUUUCCAAAAAUCCCAAAUUGGUACCUUAUCAUGAUCCAAGCAAACAUACAUACAUAUAUGAUAAAUAUUUGGAGGGCUGACUCUAGAGGAGGCUUUGGAACUGAUCACCUGUGGACUAUCUGGUCAGUUUCAUUUUUUAUGAAACAUGUCCAAAUAGCCUUCAUUUUGCAAAGUGGCUGGAUUAAAAUGGUGGCUGUGCAACGGCUGUGCUAUCUUCUCAAAUCAUUUAACUUACCUACAAGUUUUUGUUUCUAUUCCCUUUGCCAACUCAUUUUAUAAAUGUUAAGUUAAUGAUUGCAAUGUCUGCACCUCAAAAUCAGAAUUCGCAAUUCUGUAUUGUCAUUGUAAAAUCUGACAGCUCAAUGCCUUGUAUUUCUCUAAAUGCCAAAAGACUACAAUAAACCUAGUUUAUUGCUUUAAAGAAAA
This 1502-nucleotide long non-coding RNA is filed under the name Homo sapiens (human). RNAcentral's name for it is "HSALNT0141670". Lineage: Eukaryota; Metazoa; Chordata; Mammalia; Primates; Hominidae. The record is from RNAcentral.